Molecule: ribosomal RNA, 485 nt
Filed under: uncultured Planctomycetota bacterium
Lineage: Bacteria; Pseudomonadati; Planctomycetota
Description: bacterial SSU rRNA
Rfam family: Bacterial small subunit ribosomal RNA
Source: RNAcentral
AACGAACGCUAGCGGUGUGGAUUAGGCAUGCAAGUCGUGCGCGAACGUCUUCGGACAAGUAAAGCGGCGAAAGGGUGAGUAACACGUAACCAACGUACCUCUUAGAUUGGAAUAACCUCUGGAAACGGUGGGUAAUGCCAAAUGGUCUGCCGGUAGGCAUCUACUGGACAGUAAACGGCGGCUUCGGCUGUUGCUAAGAGAGCGGGUUGCGGCCUAUCAGCUUGUUGGUGGGGUAACGGCCUACCAAGGCGAUGACGGGUAGCGGGUCUGAGAGGAUGAUCCGUCACACUGGGACUGAGACACUGCCCAGACUCCUACGGGAGGCUGCAGUCGAGAAUCUUCCACAAUGGACGAAAGUCUGAUGGAGCGACACCGCGUGCAGGAUGAAGGCCUUAGGGUUGUAAACUGCUGUCACGCUAUAGGAACCGCUGGUAGUGAAUAGCUGCCAGCCUGACCAAAGCGAGAGGAAGCACCGGCUAACUCCG